RNAcentral lists this ribosomal RNA (171 nucleotides) under uncultured bacterium. RNAcentral's name for it is "partial 16S ribosomal RNA". It matches the Rfam family "Bacterial small subunit ribosomal RNA", at positions 357 to 525 of the family's 1533-position model. The record is from RNAcentral.
AGGAAUAUUGGACAAUGGGCGCAAGCCUGAUCCAGCCAUGCCGCGUGCAGGAUGACGGUCCUAUGGAUUGUAAACUGCUUUUGUACAGGAAGAAACACUCCCUCGUGAGGGAGCUUGACGGUACUGUAAGAAUAAGGAUCGGCUAACUCCGUGCCAGCAGCCGCGGUAAUA